GACGAACGCUGGCGGCGUGCUUAACACAUGCAAGUCUAACUGAAAUGCCCUUCUUUUGUGGGGUGCUCGAGUGGCGAAUGGGUGAGUAACACGUCAGUUACCUGCCCUUUACUUUGGCAUAACUUCAUGAAUCUUGUUCUAAUUCUGGAUCGUCGCUCCUGCUUCAUGGUUGGGGUCGCAAUGUUUCGGCGGUUGGGGAUGUACUCGCGUCUUAUCAGCUUGUUGGUGGGGUAGUGGCUUACCAAGGCUUUGACGGGUAGCCGGGCUGGGAAGGUGACCGGCCAAAUUGGGAAUGAGAUAAGGCCCAGACUCCUAAGGGAGGCAGCAGGGGGGAAUAAUGCAAAAUGGGCGGAAGAGUGAUGCAGCAGCGCCGCGUGCGGGAUGACGGCCUUCGGGGUGUAAAAAGCUUUCGCCUGUGACGAAGAGUGAGUGACGGUAAUGGGUAAAGAAGCACCGGCUAAAUACGUG
This 468-nucleotide ribosomal RNA is filed under the name uncultured bacterium. RNAcentral's name for it is "partial 16S ribosomal RNA". It matches the Rfam family "Bacterial small subunit ribosomal RNA", at positions 28 to 507 of the family's 1533-position model. The record is from RNAcentral.